Long non-coding RNA from Oncorhynchus nerka (sockeye salmon), 1389 nucleotides. RefSeq lists it as uncharacterized. The transcript is spliced from 2 exons. The record is from RefSeq and is a predicted model, not a curated record. Lineage: Eukaryota; Metazoa; Chordata; Actinopteri; Salmoniformes; Salmonidae.
CUACAUUGUUACAUAAGGAUUUCCAUGAUCCAGGGGAGACUGAGGAAUAAGAAAUAAUUAUUAUUCUUAUAUUUUAUUAUGUCUUAUUGUUGUUGCAUUAUUGAGAGGGAACCUGCAAGUAAGAUCUGUAUAUUCGUUGGAAGGUGUAUAGGCCCUACCAUGUGUAUCCUGUACAUAUGACUAUUCAAACUUGAAAUAUGACAGAGACACACAAAGAGAAAGAAUGAGAGAGAGAGAGAGAUAGACAGACAGAGCAAUAGAGCGAGAAGAGAGAUGCAAUGAAAAUGUUUUUGGAUAUAUAUUAGAUAUUAGACGUCUCUGCAUUUUCCACAAAACCCUGUCAGCGUUUCUGACCAAAGUGGAACAUUUUGGCUGCGUUGUCUUACUAUCUAUCUGUUCUGAGUUUUCCUUCCUCUCUUUCUUUCACAACAGAGACAAGUACCGACAAGCUGAGUAGCAAACACACUUCUCGUCAUUACAUCUGAAACUAUAGCUUAUUUUUUAUUUCCCUGUUUUCUUGAGGAGCUGAGAGCGGAUGCACGGCACAGCGAUCAACACGGCGCUCUAAAGCAGUGGGAGUAAGAACAAUUGAGAUACACAUAGAACAAGACCUGGGAUCCAACUUGAGAGAGGGGAAAUGCUACAGCAACACUUUCAGGUGUACCAUUGAGAACAUGCCAUGCAUGUUACCUCAGAAAGCAAGCUCACAGAUGUGUUAUAAAUCAUUCUGUAAAAUCCCACAUGGAAAAAUUCUCACAGGAAAAAGGCAGCACAAGCAUGAACCGAAAAUCUAAAUAAAAUGAGACUUUCAUGGAAUAGACAAUGAGACAACAAUUGAAACUGUUGGACAUUUUUUUUUUGUGUCCCUCAUAUUUUUGUUCAAACAAAACACAAAAAAACUAAGACGAAGGACAUCAUAAAAUCAUAAAAAAUACAAAAAGGAAAAUCAACACGACUUUGAAAAAGGAUGAUGAGAGAAGAGUGUGAGACACUUGGACGGCAGCAACAGCAGAGGAUUGCACAUGUCAAUGAUCCGUUCUACACCUCCCUACCGCCCCCUGCCCGACCCCUCCGAAAACGAAGGGGGAAAAAUCUGAGCGCUUGCGUCAUCCAUUAGAUGGGAAAGGAGGGGAGAAAUUAAGGGAGGGAGCCUAAGGGGUUUAACAGUGUGCCAAACAUCAGUGACAUUUCUUGUCUAUAAAAAGAACAGAACGGUGCAGAAAUAUUCUUCUUUUUUUCAAAUCAUCAAACAGGUGAAAGAGGAUCCUUUUUUCACCGCGAAUAAAAUCAAGAAUUUUUUGUUGUUUUUUUGUUCAUUUAAAAAUGUCUCAGUCCCAGUCUGUUUUCACGCCCUUGUUCUCUCAUUUAAAGUGUCUGUGUGAAAAUAUA